This 254-nucleotide ribosomal RNA is filed under the name uncultured bacterium. RNAcentral's name for it is "partial 16S ribosomal RNA". It matches the Rfam family "Bacterial small subunit ribosomal RNA", at positions 524 to 776 of the family's 1533-position model. The record is from RNAcentral.
GACGUAGGGCGCAAGCGUUGUCCGGAAUUAUUGGGCGUAAAGAGCUCGUAGGCGGUGUGUCGCGUCGGCCGUGAAAACCUGGGGCUUAACUCUGGGCGUGCGGUCGAUACGGGCAUCACUAGAGUUCGGCAGGGGAGACUGGAAUUCCUGGUGUAGCGGUGAAAUGCGCAGAUAUCAGGAGGAACACCGGUGGCGAAGGCGGGUCUCUGGGCCGAUACUGACGCUGAGGCGCGACAGCGUGGGGAGCAAACAGG